CCUACGGGAGGCAGCAGUAGGGAAUCUUCCGCAAUGGACGAAAGUCUGACGGAGCAACGCCGCGUGAGUGAAGAAGGUUUUCGGAUCGUAAAACUCUGUUGUCAGAGAAGAACACGUUGGAGAGUAACUGCUCCAGCCUUGACGGUAUCUGACCAGAAAGCCACGGCUAACUACGUGCCAGCAGCCGCGGUAAUA
This 195-nucleotide ribosomal RNA is filed under the name uncultured Trichococcus sp. RNAcentral describes it as "partial 16S ribosomal RNA". It matches the Rfam family "Bacterial small subunit ribosomal RNA", at positions 338 to 525 of the family's 1533-position model. Lineage: Bacteria; Bacillati; Bacillota; Bacilli; Lactobacillales; Carnobacteriaceae. The record is from RNAcentral.